UUUAUUGGAGAGUUUGAUCCUGGCUCAGGACGAACGCUGGCGGCAUGCCUAAUACAUGCAAGUCGAGCGGAGUUGAUAGGAAGCUUGCUUCUUUGAUACUUAGCGGCGGACGGGUGAGUAACACGUAGGCAACCUGCCCUCGAGUUUGGGACAACUACCGGAAACGGUAGCUAAUACCGAAUAAUUGUUUUCUUCGCCUGAAGGGAACUGGAAAGACGGAGCAAUCUGUCACUUGGGGAUGGGCCUGCGGCGCAUUAGCUAGUUGGUGAGGUAACGGCUCACCAAGGCGACGAUGCGUAGCCGACCUGAGAGGGUGAUCGGCCACACUGGGA
RNAcentral lists this ribosomal RNA (332 nucleotides) under Paenibacillus sp. BGI2013. Its description in RNAcentral is "bacterial SSU rRNA". It matches the Rfam family "Bacterial small subunit ribosomal RNA", at positions 1 to 318 of the family's 1533-position model. Lineage: Bacteria; Bacillati; Bacillota; Bacilli; Caryophanales; Paenibacillaceae. The record is from RNAcentral.